AAUAGAUACCCCGGUAGUCCAUACCGUAAACGAUGAAUGCUAAGUGUUGGAGGGUUUCCGCCCUUCAGUGCUGCAGCUAACGCAUUAAGCAUUCCGCCUGGGGAGUACGGCCGCAAGGCUGAAACUCAAAGGAAUUGACGGGGGCCCGCACAAGCGGUGGAGCAUGUGGUUUAAUUCGAAGCUACGCGAAGAACCUUACCAGGUCUUGACAUACUAUGCAAAUCUAAGAGAUUAGACGUUCCCUUCGGGGACAUGGAUACAGGUGGUGCAUGGUUGUCGUCAGCUCGUGUCGUGAGAUGUUGGGUUAAGUCCCGCAACGAGCGCAACCCUUAUUAUCAGUUGCCAGCAUUAAGUUGGGCACUCUGGUGAGACUGCCGGUGACAAACCGGAGGAAGGUGGGGAUGACGUCAAAUCAUCAUGCCCCUUAUGACCUGGGCUACACACGUGCUACAAUGGAUGGUACAACGAGUUGCGAACUCGCGAGAGUAAGCUAAUCUCUUAAAGCCAUUCUCAGUUCGGAUUGGUA
Molecule: ribosomal RNA, 526 nt
Filed under: uncultured bacterium
Lineage: Bacteria
Description: bacterial SSU rRNA
Rfam family: Bacterial small subunit ribosomal RNA
Source: RNAcentral